AGCCCUUGAUACCAAAACCUGCCACGUAAACCCACUACAUCGGCCUAAGUUUGUUUAUGCUUUUGCCCAUUAGAAUAUAUUAUGUGCUCAUAUUACACUGACUGUGAACUUAAUCUGGUGUUUUUACUUAUUAUGACCAUCAUUUUGUACGUCGGGAACUUUACAAUGGAAACUAUUAACAAAUACACACCGUGGAACAUCCUGUGGUUUUAUCUGUAUGACAACAGGGAUGACGUGAAGAAGUUUGAUGCAAAAUCUGCCGUGACCCUGGCACAGUUCAAGCUUUUUAAUGUAGUUACUAGUUUAGUUAACUGAAUGCCUUAACAAUGUAGUGUGAUGGAAUGACAACCAAAACUGGAAUAUAAUAUGAUGAUCGGUAGUGACUUGCGUCAAAGCACUUAAUAUUAAAAGGUGAGAAAAGUAAACUAUGAGGCAGGUGAAUGACUUGCCAAUAGUAAACAAGUGAAAUGAUUCAGGAGCAUAUAUUUCUUUUCCUAAGACCAUAAUUGUAAUUCUGACUACAUAUUUGA
Cygnus olor (mute swan) is the source of this 530-nucleotide long non-coding RNA. RefSeq lists it as uncharacterized. The transcript has 3 exons. The record is from RefSeq and is a predicted model, not a curated record. NCBI's taxonomy places the organism in Eukaryota, Metazoa, Chordata, Aves, Anseriformes, Anatidae.